Molecule: long non-coding RNA, 568 nt
Organism: Arabidopsis thaliana (thale cress)
Lineage: Eukaryota; Viridiplantae; Streptophyta; Magnoliopsida; Brassicales; Brassicaceae
Product: other RNA
Exons: 1
Source: RefSeq
AAUCAAAAUUUACACCUCCUCCUCUUUUUCAUCUUCUUCUUAUGAUUUUCUUUCCGAUAUAUAGUUUUAAUAUUCUUUGCCAUGCCACAAACUAAACUUCCAAGACUAAUCAUAACCAAUAAUUUCAAUCUAAUAUAUAGCAGCAAAUACAAAUUCUCAUCACCAUACAUACAUACAUGUGUCAUGUGUCCAAUGAAAUAUGGAUUGGUUGUAAUAUAGAGAUAGGUAAAUUAAUACACACACUCACGCACGAGCUUCACGUGUAGCCCAUUACUUUGGCUCCCCAAGGGAAUGAUAACGGGUCCCUCAAGGCCCACUCAUUAGACCGGAAAGAUCGGUGGUUCGUUGGCAACGGCUGACUUGACAGUGGCUGGACCACGCCGGGCUCACGAGUCCAAUCAUAUAAUUUGUAGUGGGACCAGCCUUAACGGCUUCAGUCACAAGAUGAAAUUUGUGUUAGGAUCAAACCAGCCAAACCGGUUGUUCUUCAAGUUCGGUCUGGGCAAAGAAAACAUGUGAUAUGAUGGUUUUGAUAACUGUCACUCUCUCAGUUCCCUAAGCCUAUCAA